Molecule: long non-coding RNA, 388 nt
Filed under: Salvia miltiorrhiza (redroot sage)
Lineage: Eukaryota; Viridiplantae; Streptophyta; Magnoliopsida; Lamiales; Lamiaceae
Description: long non-coding RNA (SMIL_LNC010919)
Source: RNAcentral
AGUAUUUGAUUUUUGCUCAAAUCCUAUGUACUAAGUGUUCGACUGAAUUUGAGGCUUGAAACCUUUGAAGGGGGGGCUGACUCUGCUGUGUGUGUGUGAGUCGAGAUCAGAGGGAGGCGGCAGCCGCGGUGGCUCGUCGCCGGCGACGGAGCGGCGGCAGUGAACCUGCCGUGGUUCCGAUCUGCCAAGAAGGGGAAGAAGAGAGGGUUUUUAGCUUCAAGUUUAAAAAAAUGAAAGGAGAAGGGGAAACUUAGGGUUUACCUGGGCUGUCUCCGGCGACGGCGGCUCCUCAACGGCCGUGGGCCUGUGCAGCCAGCGAGAGGGAGGGCGACGCGGCGGCGCGGCUUACGCCGUGUCUGCCGGCGUGUGUGGCAGUGAGGUUAGAGAG